GAGCGGGAAGCUGAGCAUUUUGUGUAUAUUAGUCGGCCUUCAGUUCAGGAGGCUGCAGUGGCUCUAAUGCACUAAGAAUUUUGGUCAACUUGCCGGUUUUAUACCACGGCAACCAACAUUUGGCUUUGUUAUAGCUGCCUUUUUUUUUGCUGUAGCAAUAGAUAUUUGCCCUGAGGAAGUGAAUUCAGGAAAUAUGAUGUUACCGUAUACAAAUAUAUGUAUUUUUUUCAUAAGUUUUCAACAAGCUAGGAGUGGAUUGAUAAUCAAUCAAUGUAAUGCUUUUUAUGUAUUUUAGCAAGAACUUCUUUUUGUCCAAUUAUAUUGUAUACAGCAGCGGUUAUUUUAUGUGAAAUUGUA
This 357-nucleotide unclassified non-coding RNA is filed under the name Hevea brasiliensis (rubber tree). The record is from RNAcentral. Lineage: Eukaryota; Viridiplantae; Streptophyta; Magnoliopsida; Malpighiales; Euphorbiaceae.